Molecule: ribosomal RNA, 1326 nt
Filed under: metagenome
Description: bacterial LSU rRNA
Rfam family: Bacterial large subunit ribosomal RNA
Source: RNAcentral
UGAGUGAUGGGGAGCAACCUAGUUGUGCGUGUGUAAAGGUAGUGCCAAGAAAAGCGAUGAUCAUGUUGAAAAUCAAUUCCCGGUACCCGAAACCGACACAGGUGGGCAAGUAGAGAAUACUAAGGGGCGCGAGGUAACUCUCUCCAAGGAACUCGGCAAAAUGACCCCGUAACUUAGGGAGAAGGGGUGCCACCGAGAGGUGGUCGCAGUGAAGAGGCCCAGGCGACUGUUUAGCAAAAACAUAGGUCUCUGCAAACUCGAAAGAGGAGGUAUAGGGGCUGACGCCUGCCCAGUGCCGGAAGGUUAAAGAAGUUGGUCAGUCUUAGGAUGAAGCUAGCGACUGAAGCCCCGGUGAACGGCGGCCGUAACUAUAACGGUCCUAAGGUAGCGAAAUUCCUUGUCGGGUAAGUUCCGACCCGCACGAAAGGCGUGACGAUCUGGGCGCUGUCUCGGAGAGAGGCUCGGCGAAAUAGGAUUGUCUGUGAAGAUACGGACUACCUGCAUUUGGACAGAAAGACCCUAUGAAGCUUUACUAUAGCUUGGAAUUGUGUUCGGGCUUCCUGUGCGCAGGAUAGGUGGGAGGCGUAGAAGGUAUUCUUGUGGGGAUACUGGAGCCAACGGUGAGAUACCACUCUCAGGAGGCUAGAAUUCUAACUUAAUUAAGGACAGUUUCAGGUGGGUAGUUUGACUGGGGCGGUCGCCUCCAAAAAGGUAACGGAGGCGUACAAAGGUUCCCUCAGACUGGUUGGAAAUCAGUCGAAGAGUGCAAAGGCAGAAGGGAGCUUGACUGCGAGAAGUACAGUUCGAGCAGGGUGGAAACACGGUCUUAGUGAUCCGACGGUGCUGUGUGGAAGGGCCGUCGCUCAACGGAUAAAAGUUACUCUAGGAUAACAGGCUGAUCUCCCCCAAGAGUUCACAUCGACGGGGAGGUUUGGCACCGCGAUGUCGGCUCGUCGCAACCCGGGGCGGAAGUACGUCCCAAGGGUUGGGCUGUUCGCCCAUUAAAGCGGUACGUGAGCUGGGUUCAGAACGUCGUGAGACAGUUCGGUCCAUAUCCGAUGUAGGCGUGAGAAUAUUGAGAGGAGCCUUCCUUAGUACGAGAGGACCGGGAUGGACGCACCGCUGGUGUACCUGUUAUGAUGCCAAUUGUAAACGCAGGGUAGCCAAGUGCGGAGAGGAUAACCGCUGAGAGCAUCUAAGUGGGAAGCCCACCUCAAGAUGAGUAUUCUGGUGUAAGGUCACGGGAAGACGACCCGUAAAUAGGCACGAGGUGGAAGUGCAGAGACGUAUGAAGCCGAAGUGUACUAAUAGACCGUCGGCUUGACC